UACGGAGGGUGCAAGCGUUAUCCGGAAUCACUGGGUUUAAAGGGUGCGUAGGCGGUGGCGUAAGUCAGUCGUGAAAUACUUCGGCUCAACCGAUAGAACUGCGAUUGAUACUGUGUCACUUGAAUCAGGAUGAGGCAGGCGGAAUGUGGCAUGUAGCGGUGAAAUGCUUAGAUAUGCCAUAGAACACCGAUUGCGAAGGCAGCUUGCUGGGCCUGUAUUGACGCUGAGGCACGAAAGCGUGGGGAGCAAACAGG
This 254-nucleotide ribosomal RNA is filed under the name uncultured bacterium. RNAcentral describes it as "partial 16S ribosomal RNA". It matches the Rfam family "Bacterial small subunit ribosomal RNA", at positions 524 to 776 of the family's 1533-position model. The record is from RNAcentral.